UCUAAGGAGCACCACGAUGAACACUCCCAAUUGGUGGGGGUGUGGGCCGUGAGGAGUUCUCGCCUGUAGUGGGUGGGAGCUGGGUGCGCGACAACAAAUCGUCUUUCGCUUUCCCCGGUUUGGGGGUGCAAAGGGCAGCAUUGGCGCCAAACACACUGUUGGGUCCUGAGACAACACCUGCUGUUGUCCUGGCCGUUGGUGGUCAGGGGGGUGUUGUUGCCUCACUUGGUGGUGGGGUGUGGUGUUUGAUUUGUGGAUAGUGGUUGCGAGCAUCUAAGCAAAAGUGCUGAUUUUUUAUGCAUGUUUUGUUGAGUUGUUUUCUUGUGUUUGUAAAUGUUUAACGGCACAUGGUGGAUGCCUUGACAUCAGGAGCCCAUGAACGACGUGGGAGGCUGCGAUAUGCCUCGGGGAGCUGUCAACCGACCGUGGAUCCGAGGAUGUCCGAAUGGGGAAACCCGG
This 459-nucleotide unclassified non-coding RNA is filed under the name uncultured Actinomycetes bacterium. RNAcentral describes it as "uncultured actinobacterium partial contains 16S ribosomal RNA, 16S-23S ribosomal RNA intergenic spacer, and 23S ribosomal RNA". The stretch from base 328 to 459 matches the Rfam family "Bacterial large subunit ribosomal RNA", at positions 1 to 131 of the family's 2925-position model. The record is from RNAcentral. Lineage: Bacteria; Bacillati; Actinomycetota; Actinomycetes.